Molecule: ribosomal RNA, 422 nt
Filed under: uncultured cyanobacterium
Lineage: Bacteria; Bacillati; Cyanobacteriota
Description: bacterial SSU rRNA
Rfam family: Bacterial small subunit ribosomal RNA
Source: RNAcentral
GGGGAAUUUUCCGCAAUGGGCGCAAGCCUGACGGAGCAAUACCGCGUGGACGAGGAAGGUUUUUGGAUUGUAAAGUCCUUUUCUCAGGGAAGAUAAUGACGGUACCUGAGGAAUCAGCAUCGGCUAACUCCGUGCCAGCAGCCGCGGUAAGACGGAGGAUGCAAGCGUUAUCCGGAAUUAUUGGGCGUAAAGAGUACGUUGGCGGUUAUGCAAGUCUGAGGUUAAAGCCUGCAGCUUAACUGCGGACCAGCCUUGGAAACUGCGUGACUAGAGUGCGGUAGGGGUAGAGGGAAUUCCCGGUGUAGCGGCGAAAUGCGUAGAUAUCGGGAAGAACACCAGUGGCGAAGGCGCUCUGCUGGGCCGCAACUGACGCUGAGGUACGAAAGCUAGGGGAGCGAAAGGGAUUAGAUACCCCUGUAGUC